This 497-nucleotide ribosomal RNA is filed under the name uncultured bacterium. RNAcentral's name for it is "partial 16S ribosomal RNA". It matches the Rfam family "Bacterial small subunit ribosomal RNA", at positions 28 to 507 of the family's 1533-position model. The record is from RNAcentral.
GAUGAACGCUGGCGGCGUGCCUAAUACAUGCCAGUCGAGCGAACGGACGAGAAGCUUGCUUCUCUGAUGUUAGCGGCGGACGGGUGAGUAACACGUGGAUAACCUACCUAUAAGACUGGGAUAACUUCGGGAAACCGUAGCUAAUACCGGAUAAUAUUUUGAACCGCAUGGUUCAAAAGUGAAAGACGGUCUUGCUGUCACUUAUAGAUGGAUCCGCGCUGCAUUAGCUAGUUGGUAAGGUAACGGCUUACCAAGGCAACGAUGCAUAGCCGACCUGAGAGGGUGAUCGGCCACACUGGAACUGAGACACGGUCCAGACUCCUACGGGAGGCAGCAGUAGGGAAUCUUCCGCAAUGGGCGAGAGCCUGACGGAGCAACGCCGCGUGAGUGAUGAAGGUCUUCGGAUCGUAAAACUCUGUUAUUAGGGAAGAACAUAUGUGUAAGUAACUGUGCACAUCUUGACGGUACCUAAUCAGAAAGCCACGGCUAACUACGUG